This 342-nucleotide long non-coding RNA is filed under the name Fukomys damarensis (Damara mole-rat). Its description in RNAcentral is "lncRNA (ENSFDAG00000030422.1)". Lineage: Eukaryota; Metazoa; Chordata; Mammalia; Rodentia; Bathyergidae. The record is from RNAcentral.
GGCAGGCAGCUGAAAAAAACCCCCUCUGGGGUCCUUGGGUCCUUCCUGGGUCUGUUGUCGCGCAGGCCGGGAGCUCACGCGCACGCCGCCGGGUGAUCGCAGACAGGCAGGCUUGUCUUGUGAAGAGGACUGACUUAUUUCUCCAAUUAGACAAAACUCUUCUUCCAAAUCCAGAAGAAAAAUUUCACCAUAGGCAGCUGAGAAGAAUGACAGAAAUCCUAAUUCCUUUAACUCAGAGUUAAAAAGAAAGUUGCUCAAAGGAUACCAAUCUUAUUCAAGGUUUCAGCCAGGUAAUUAUUAUUACAUUUGCUUCUGUUUCUAAUAUUUUCAGAUUUAUUUUAA